Molecule: ribosomal RNA, 403 nt
Filed under: uncultured bacterium
Lineage: Bacteria
Description: partial 16S ribosomal RNA
Rfam family: Bacterial small subunit ribosomal RNA
Source: RNAcentral
GACGAACGCUGGCGGCGUGCCUAAUACAUGCAAGUCGAACGCAGUGGGGACGGGUGAGUAACACGUGGGUAACCUCCCAUCAGAGGGCAUAACACUUGGCAACUGGCGCUUAACCGCUACUGAUGGAUGGACUCGCGGUGCAUUAGCUAGUUGGUGGGGUAACGGCUCACCAAGGCUACGAGCCCUAGCCGGCCUGAGAGGAUGAUCGGCCACACUGGGACUGAGACACGGCCCAGACUCCUACGGGAGGCAGCAGUAGGGAAUAUUGGGCAAUGGACGAAAGUCUGACCGAGCAAUGCCGCGUGAAUGAAGAAGGUUUUCGGAUCGUAAAGCUCUGUUGUCAGAGAAGCGGUAUCUAACCAAGAAGCCCCGGCUAACUACGUGCCAGCAGCCGCGGUAAUAC